AUGCUCGUGAACUUUGCUUUUAAAUCAUUUCCCGGCCGAGCCGCGGCAGAGUGCGGAGCCAGCGUUUUGGCAUCACCCCUCCACGCACUUGAGGAAAGUUUGUGCAACCCUCCCGGCAGGGCAGGAGCUCCGAUGGGCGUCGUGCGCGCCCUGUCCUGCGGCGCUGGCGGGAGCACUGUCUGGUCCGGCACGGAGCGAAGACGGAGCGUGGCUUUUCGGCUGCCGCAGCAGCAGGCGGGAGGGGGGCGAGCGGGGUGUCCCAGGCCCCGACAGCCGCAUCACGCUGGGCUCCCCAGCACCAAGAAGCGCUGGCCCUGUGGCCAGGCCCAGGGAAGCUC
RNAcentral lists this long non-coding RNA (338 nucleotides) under Parus major (Great Tit). Its description in RNAcentral is "lncRNA (ENSPMJG00000012061.1)". Lineage: Eukaryota; Metazoa; Chordata; Aves; Passeriformes; Paridae. The record is from RNAcentral.